Asticcacaulis sp. AC466 is the source of this 87-nucleotide transfer RNA. It matches the Rfam family "tRNA". Rfam says of the family: Transfer RNA (tRNA) molecules are approximately 80 nucleotides in length. Their secondary structure includes four short double-helical elements and three loops (D, anti-codon, and T loops). Lineage: Bacteria; Pseudomonadati; Pseudomonadota; Alphaproteobacteria; Caulobacterales; Caulobacteraceae. The record is from Rfam.
GGACAGAUGGCGGAGUGGUCGAUCGCGCACGCUUGGAAAGCGUGUGUACGUGCAAGCGUACCGAGGGUUCGAAUCCCUCUCUGUCCG